RNAcentral lists this ribosomal RNA (497 nucleotides) under uncultured bacterium. Its description in RNAcentral is "bacterial SSU rRNA". It matches the Rfam family "Bacterial small subunit ribosomal RNA", at positions 21 to 507 of the family's 1533-position model. The record is from RNAcentral.
GGCUCAGGAUGAACGCUAGCUACAGGCUUAACACAUGCAAGUCGAGGGGCAGCAUGAUUGAAGCUUGCUUCAAUUGAUGGCGACCGGCGCACGGGUGAGUAACACGUAUCCAACCUUCCGUACACUCAGGGAUAGCCUUUCGAAAGAAAGAUUAAUACCUGAUGGUAUCUUAAGCACACAUGUAAUUAAGAUUAAAGAUUUAUCGGUGUACGAUGGGGAUGCGUUCCAUUAGGUAGUAGGCGGGGUAACGGCCCACCUAGCCUACGAUGGAUAGGGGUUCUGAGAGGAAGGUCCCCCACAUUGGAACUGAGACACGGUCCAAACUCCUACGGGAGGCAGCAGUGAGGAAUAUUGGUCAAUGGACGCAAGUCUGAACCAGCCAUGCCGCGUGCAGGAAGACGGCUCUAUGAGUUGUAAACUGCUUUUGUACGAGGGUAAACGCUCUUACGUGUAAGAGCCUGAAAGUAUCGUACGAAUAAGGAUCGGCUAACUCCGUG